Molecule: non-coding RNA, 1670 nt
Filed under: Pongo abelii (Sumatran orangutan)
Lineage: Eukaryota; Metazoa; Chordata; Mammalia; Primates; Hominidae
Source: RNAcentral
GAGAGAGCGGCCUUAGGAACAGCAUGAGUGGGUGCAGUCCCCACUCGGAGCCUGCAUGUCCCAGCAGCCCAGAGUCCAUUUAAGAUCUCUCCUGUGCCAGUGCGAAGGGUAAUCUUCUGGAACCAGAGAGGGGCUGGCAGGUGGUCAGCUGCCCUUAGAGCUAGAGGUGAGAAAUUCCCAUGGUGGAAAAAGGGCCGGAAACGUCCACCAGGCAAGCUGCCCAGACACAGGAUUGGGGGACUGUCCCUUCCCUGGGUAAAAGCAAGUCUUUCCUGGUCUUUAAUGCAUGAUGUAAUACUUUUACAGUGGUGGGUGAGGUGAGGACAGGAGGAGUUUGGAAGAGGGAGGUAAUAUUAGUGCAUGUUUGUUAAAAAUCCAUCCCAGGUGAAUGACUUUUUUCUUCAUCUCCAAAAUACAAGAGAAUUAUUUUUAGGUCUCCAACUUAAAAAUAAUGUUUGGAGUUAGCAGGUAGGUGGAUCAGGGCCAGCCCUGGUCCCUUAGCCCCCCACCCCUGUCUUAGCCUAGGGACUGUUGCCCAGGGACCCGUGGGCACAGAAGCACCCCCCGCCCCACGCCCUCGGGACAACUGCCAUUUCCACAUUAUCCCCAUCUUUAGCCUGAGCGUGGAUUAAGACAGAGGAGAUCACAGACACAAGGUUAAAGAUGGUUCUUCCAUUUCAGAUUUCCAUUGUAAACAGAAGUCCUGUUAAUCCCUGCAUGCCUUUAAUAAAAAAAAGGAAUUAGUUGAUAAAAAUUGGUGAGUCACAUUCAUACAUUCGAUUUUUUUCUUUUAACUUUCAGGAUGUUGGUAUAUUCGUAAGAAAAAUAGCCUCUCUCUCAGGAUCUAGCCAAAAAGGCUGAAAGUCAAUCAGUUUAGUAAUUCACCAAAAACAGGAGCUAAAGAAAGGAAAAGGCAACUGGAGGCUAGGAUUUUUUGUUGCUGUUGUAGUUUUCUUUUUAAAUAAACAUCAUCAUCUAUGUGUAAUCAAAUUCCCAUAUUUUCUUCCUAUAAAGAAUUUGCUUUAGUUUUUCAAUAAGGCAUUUUUUUUUUGUCAUCCAAACAUCUCUUCCUUUUAAAAUUUUCUUAGAGUUAAAACCAUAAAUAAGAGGAUUUAAACCACUAAAAUGACACGUGCCAAUAUCUUCAUUCAGCCAGACCUGGUAAAUUCUAUCAAAACUAGACAGUUAAAUAAGAACCACGUUAUAAAAAUAUUAGCCAAAAAAAGACUAUUAGAUAAUUCUGCAAACUCAAAUAUGAAACUGUACUAAACAAAAUAUGUGCAAAGGUACACAAGCAUAGAGCCACGUUGGGGGUUAUGCUCAGAUUAGUUUUAAAGCUCGCUCUAGUGGAUUUAAUUCAAGAGUUGUCCACGGUGGUGGUGUUUACUUUGAACUCACACGAGUCAAAGAAAAAUAAAAUAUGCACAACCACUUCCCCAAAAGGUGUCUUAUGGAGCCGGUGCUUCAUCGUGUCCACACCCAGGACUGCCUGGGGUGUCCCUAGGGCUGGGGGGUGGUGAGAGCAGGCCAGGCUGAGGGGCCUGCCUUGGAAGGCGAGGGUCUGAGGGGUGGGGCUGUAAAGACAGCCCUUUCAUCAGGAAGCUGGAGCUGAAAAGCCCUAAUACCCCUAAAUCCCCAAACUCUUGGAUCCCGUCCCACAGACGAGAGUC